Molecule: long non-coding RNA, 1931 nt
Organism: Vicia villosa (hairy vetch)
Lineage: Eukaryota; Viridiplantae; Streptophyta; Magnoliopsida; Fabales; Fabaceae
Exons: 7
Source: RefSeq, a predicted model, not a curated record
UCUCUCUCUCUCUCUCUCUCUCUCUCUCUCUCUCUCUCUCCCAAAACUCAGAUUUUCACACCUUCUUCUAUCUCCUUCUUCUGGUGGUGAGGUUGCAAUUUUCGGUGGUGGUGGAUCUGAGCGUUUUCGUGUGGUUUGGAGGUGGUGAGGUUGCGAUUUUUUACGGCGGUGGAUCUGUGCGUUUUCGUGUGGUGUGGAUGGAGAAGUUACAAUCUUUACUUACUCAAGUAUACACUCCUUUUAAGUUGUUUGAGUUAGGUUUUGGAUGGGCAUGGAAGUCCUGAUGCAACUGUGUUUGUUAAGAAAAAUGCUAUGAAAAUAUUUUUUUUGAAGACGUUACAAUGCUGCAGUCAUAUGACACUGAUGCACUUCUAAUUAAGAGGUUGGAAGAUUCUCAUCAGAAAGUUUUUCUAGGUGUCGACCUUGCGAUGGUUGAUGAACAGAGUAUUAGUAGUUCUUCUGAGACAACAACACUGACUGCCCUGAUACUUGGAAAGCAUUUGCUUGUUGCUAAUGUCGGUGAUUGUCGAGUAGUUUUUUAAGAGGACCACAGACGGAGUUAUUCUUUGUUUUGUUUUCACUAUGGGUUUUUUUUAGAAAAACUACUUCAUACUGUUAUGUAAUAUAUUUGAUAUACCUACUGCAUAUUUAAGCAAUUUGGAAUAAUUGUUGUGAAAUCAACUUGUAGGUUCACUUUGUCUUAAAAGAACUUGUGAGAAAAUCAAUAGGUGAAACUGAGGUAAAGUUUGUAGAUUCAUUUUGUAGCAACCCUGCUUAAAAUGUACUAGAAUAGUUAAUAAUAAAUCACAAUUUUUUCUAUGAACAGGAGCUAAGACGUUUCCCUACUCUUCAAACCGAAUUAUCUGCAGCUACAAAUGAGGCUCUAGAGAGAUUCCGUGAAGCGAGUAAGAAGACAACUAUUCGGCUUGUGGAUAUGGAGUCUUCAUAUCUUACUGUGGAUUUCUUUCGGAAACUUCCUCAAGAAAUGGAGAAAGCUGGUAAUCUAGGGAUACCUUCUAAUCCAGCUCAACCUACUAAUCCAUCUAAUCGUCCUAUCCCUAACCCAAUCGAGGAUCGAUAUGGUGAUAGGAAUUUUAGAAGGAUUGGAUCAAAUGUGUCAUCCUAUAUAGGUUUGGUGUCUGACACACUCAAGAUCACUAUUCCAAACGCCGUGGUUUAUUGUCAGGUCAGAGAAGCAAAACUAUCAUUGCUAAGCUAUUUCUUCACACAAACUGGGAAAAAAGAGAUGUCUUCAGUUUUGGUGUGGUACUUCUUGAGCUUAUCAGUGGUCGACAUCCUAUUCAUAAAACGCGUACCAAAUGGACAGAGAAGAGCAUCUUGUAUGGUGUUUCUUUGUCAGCUAUCAGCAAAAGUUUGGCCCUGAUCGAUCCAGAAGUAUCUAAAACUCAAAAGCUUAGAUGCUGGGUAUAAAGCAUGGUGCUCUUGCUAAAGUGAAUGAUCCUAAAGUGAAGCAAUUUAUAGAGAAGCAAUUUAUAGAGAUGUUUUUGAAGUAGAAUUCAGUUUUGAAGGAAUGGCUGACACUGAAAUUGUGUCUUUGUCGGUGUUUGUGUUCGAAAGCGAUACCGAAAUUAUGAUCACUUUUGGUGCCACUACAAAUAUGGUGAGUUGUAAAUUGGUUGUAGGUUUUAGAAGUUAGUUAUGGUGAGUUGUAAAUUCUGUUAGAGGUUGUUAUUGAAGUUGUUAGAAGUUAGUAGUAGUAUUAACUGUCAGGCUAAUUGAGUAAGACUGUUAAACGGCAGCCAAGAUAGUUUUUGUUGUUGUUGUUGUUGUAUUGACACACUCCAGCAUGUUAUCGACUAAUUUUGUUAUAUUGUAAAAACUAACCGACAUGCAUGUUAUGAUAAUUUUGGAGCAGUAAUGGUGGUGAAGAUAAGCAAAUGGGAUGAUAAUGUUAUGAAACUAUUAAACAA